AGAGUUUGAUCCUGGCUCAGGACGAACGCUGGCGGCGGGCCUAAUACAUGCAAGUCGAACGCACUCGACCUUCGGGUCACAUGAGUGAGUGGCGAACGGGUGAGUAACACGUGAGGAACCUGCCCUGAAGACCGGAAUAACCCGAGGAAACUCGAGCUAAUACCGGAUAUCCCCAUCUGGUCGCAUGGCCUAAUGAGGAAAUGUUCAGGCGCUUCAGGAGGGUCUCACGGCCUAUCAGCUAGUUGGUGAGGUAACGGCUCACCAAGGCAUCGACGGGUAGCUGGUCUGAGAGGACGAUCAGCCACACUGGGACUGAGACACGGCCCAGACUCCUACGGGAGGCAGCAGUAGGGAAUCUUGCGCAAUGGGCGAAAGCCUGACGCAGCCACGCCGCGUGAGGGAUGAAGGCUCUCGGGUUGUAAACCUCUUUCAGCAGGGACGAAAAUGACGGUACCUGCAGAAGAAGCUCCGGCCAACUACGUGCCAGCAGCCGCGGUAACACGUAGGGAGCGAGCGUUGUCCGGAAUUAUUGGGCGUAAAGAGCUCGUAGGCGGUUCAGUAAGUCAGGUGUGAAAACUCGAGGCUCAACCUCGAGAGGCCACCUGAUACUGCUGUGACUGGAGUCCGGUAGAGGAGUGUGGAAUUCCUGGUGUAGCGGUGAAAUGCGCAGAUAUCAGGAGGAACACCAACAGCGAAGGCAGCACUCUGGGCCGGUACUGACGCUGAGGAGCGAAAGCGUGGGGAGCGACCAGGAUUAGAUACCCUGGUAGUCCACGCC
Molecule: ribosomal RNA, 778 nt
Filed under: Candidatus Neomicrothrix sp. UBA2155
Lineage: Bacteria; Bacillati; Actinomycetota; Acidimicrobiia; Acidimicrobiales; Microthrixaceae
Description: bacterial SSU rRNA
Rfam family: Bacterial small subunit ribosomal RNA
Source: RNAcentral